CGAAAGCCUGUCCCAGUUCGGACUGGAGUCUGCAACCCGACUCCACGAAAGUUGGAUUCGCUAGUAAUCGCGCAUCAGCCAUGGCGCGGUGAAUACGUUCCCGGGCCUUGUACACACCGCCCGUCAAGCCAUGGGAGCCGGGGGCGCCUGAAGUCCGGGACCGCGAGGACCGGCCUAGGGCGAAACUGGUAACUGGGGCUAAGUCGUAACAAGGUAUC
This 218-nucleotide ribosomal RNA is filed under the name uncultured bacterium. RNAcentral's name for it is "partial 16S ribosomal RNA". It matches the Rfam family "Bacterial small subunit ribosomal RNA", at positions 1276 to 1500 of the family's 1533-position model. The record is from RNAcentral.